This 463-nucleotide ribosomal RNA is filed under the name uncultured Geobacillus sp. Its description in RNAcentral is "bacterial SSU rRNA". It matches the Rfam family "Bacterial small subunit ribosomal RNA", at positions 921 to 1382 of the family's 1533-position model. The record is from RNAcentral. Lineage: Bacteria; Bacillati; Bacillota; Bacilli; Caryophanales; Anoxybacillaceae.
CCGCACAAGCGGUGGAGCAUGUGGUUUAAUUCGAGCAACGCGAAGAACCUUACCAGGUCUUGACAUCCCCUGACAACCCAAGAGAUUGGGCGUUCCCCCUUCGGGGGGACAGGGUGACAGGUGGUGCAUGGUUGUCGUCAGCUCGUGUCGUGAGAUGUUGGGUUAAGUCCCGCAACGAGCGCAACCCUCGCCUCUAGUUGCCAGCAUUCGGUUGGGCACUCUAGAGGGACUGCCGGCGACAAGUCGGAGGAAGGUGGGGAUGACGUCAAAUCAUCAUGCCCCUUAUGACCUGGGCUACACACGUGCUACAAUGGGCGGUACAAAGGGCUGCGAACCCGCGAGGGGGAGCGAAUCCCAAAAAGCCAUUCGUAGUCCGGAUCGCAGUCUGCAACUCGACUGCGUGAAGUCGGAAUCGCUAGUAAUCGUGGAUCAGAAUGUCACGGUGAAUACGUUCCCGGGUCUU